Molecule: non-coding RNA, 170 nt
Filed under: marine eukaryotic metagenome
Description: 6S / SsrS RNA
Rfam family: 6S / SsrS RNA
About the family: E. coli 6S RNA was the first non coding RNA to be sequenced, but its function was unknown until recently. It consists of 184 nucleotides that fold into an extended hairpin structure with a large single-stranded internal bulge. The 6S RNA specifically associates with RNA polymerase holoenzyme containing the sigma70 specificity factor.
Source: RNAcentral
UCCCUGGGGAGAUCGUGAUUCUGCCACGUCCCUGAGCCGAUGUUUUUCCCUCGGAGGCAACUCGUGUUGCUGGCGUGCAUAUCCGCUUGACGGAAAGCCCGACGCUCUACAGAUGCCACCACCUUGAACUUUUGGGUUCAAGGACCACGCCGAUAGCGACUACUUGGGGA